Molecule: ribosomal RNA, 465 nt
Filed under: Vreelandella stevensii
Lineage: Bacteria; Pseudomonadati; Pseudomonadota; Gammaproteobacteria; Oceanospirillales; Halomonadaceae
Description: partial 16S ribosomal RNA
Rfam family: Bacterial small subunit ribosomal RNA
Source: RNAcentral
CCUACAGGGGGCAGCAGUGGGGAAUAUUGGACAAUGGGGGCAACCCUGAUCCAGCCAUGCCGCGUGUGUGAAGAAGGCCCUCGGGUUGUAAAGCACUUUCAGUGAGGAAGAACGCCUGGUGGUUAAUACCCAUCAGGAAAGACAUCACUCACAGAAGAAGCACCGGCUAACUCCGUGCCAGCAGCCGCGGUAAUACGGAGGGUGCGAGCGUUAAUCGGAAUUACUGGGCGUAAAGCGCGCGUAGGUGGCUUGAUAAGCCGGUUGUGAAAGCCCCGGGCUCAACCUGGGAACGGCAUCCGGAACUGUCAAGCUAGAGAGCAGGAGAGGAAGGUAGAAUUCCCGGUGUAGCGGUGAAAUGCGUAGAGAGCGGGAGGAAUACCAGUGGCGAAGGCGGCCUUCUGGACUGACACUGACACUGAGGUGCGAAAGCGUGGGUAGCAAACAGGAUUAGAUACCCUAGUAGGC